This 497-nucleotide ribosomal RNA is filed under the name uncultured bacterium. RNAcentral's name for it is "partial 16S ribosomal RNA". It matches the Rfam family "Bacterial small subunit ribosomal RNA", at positions 28 to 507 of the family's 1533-position model. The record is from RNAcentral.
GAUGAACGCUGGCGGCGUGCCUAAUACAUGCAAGUCGAGCGAACAGACGAGGAGCUUGCUCCUUUGACGUUAGCGGCGGACGGGUGAGUAACACGUAGGUAACCUACCUAUAAGACUGGGAUAACUUCGGGAAACCGGAGCUAAUACCGGGUAAUAUUUGGAACCGCAUGGUUCGAUAGUGAAAGAGGGCUUUGCUAUCACUUAUAGAUGGACCUGCGGCGUAUUAGUUAGUUGGUAAGGUAACGGCUUACCAAGGCAACGAUACGAAGCCGACCUGAGAGGGUGAUGCGCCACACUGGAGCUGAGCCACGGUCCAGACUCCUACGGGAGGCCGAGGUAGGGAAUCUUCCGAAAUGGGCGGAAGCCUGACGGAGCAACGCCGCGUGAGUGAUGAAGGUCUUCGGAUCGUAAAACUCUGUUAUUAGGGAAGAACGAACGUGUAAGUAACUGUGCACGUCUUGACGGUACCUAAUCAGAAAGCCACGGCUAACUACGUG